GGUGAGUAAUGUCUGGGAAACUGCCUGAUGGAGGGGGAUAACUACUGGAAACGGUAGCUAAUACCGCAUAACGUCGCAAGACCAAAGAGGGGGACCUUCGGGCCUCUUGCCAUCGGAUGUGCCCAGAUGGGAUUAGCUAGUAGGUGGGGUAAAGGCUCACCUAGGCGACGAUCCCUAGCUGGUCUGAGAGGAUGACCAGCCACACUGGAACUGAGACACGGUCCAGACUCCUACGGGAGGCAGCAGUGGGGAAUAUUGCACAAUGGGCGCAAGCCUGAUGCAGCCAUGCCGCGUGUAUGAAGAAGGCCUUCGGGUUGUAAAGUACUUUCAGCGGGGAGGAAGGGAGUAAAGUUAAUACCUUUGCUCAUUGACGUUACCCGCAGAAGAAGCACCGGCUAACUCCGUGCCAGCAGCCGCGGUAAUACGGAGGGUGCAAGCGUUAAUCGGAAUUACUGGGCGUAAAGCGCACGCAGGCGGUUUGUUAAGUCAGAUGUGAAAUCCCCGGGCUCAACCUGGG
Molecule: ribosomal RNA, 517 nt
Filed under: Escherichia coli
Lineage: Bacteria; Pseudomonadati; Pseudomonadota; Gammaproteobacteria; Enterobacterales; Enterobacteriaceae
Description: bacterial SSU rRNA
Rfam family: Bacterial small subunit ribosomal RNA
Source: RNAcentral